Molecule: ribosomal RNA, 239 nt
Filed under: uncultured bacterium
Lineage: Bacteria
Description: partial 16S ribosomal RNA
Rfam family: Bacterial small subunit ribosomal RNA
Source: RNAcentral
CGGCGGACGGGUGAGUAACGUGUGGGUAACCGUGCCUCAUACAGGGGGAUAACAGUUGGAAACGGCUGCUAAUACCGCAUAAGCGCACAGUACCGCAUGGUACGGUGUGAAAAACUCCGGUGGUAUGAGAUGGACCCGCGUCUGAUUAGGUAGUUGGUGGGGUAACGGCCUACCAAGCCGACGAUCAGUAGCCGACCUGAGAGGGUGACCGGCUACAUUGGGACUGAGACACGGCCCAA